RNAcentral lists this ribosomal RNA (523 nucleotides) under uncultured Bartonella sp. Its description in RNAcentral is "bacterial SSU rRNA". It matches the Rfam family "Bacterial small subunit ribosomal RNA", at positions 91 to 649 of the family's 1533-position model. The record is from RNAcentral. Lineage: Bacteria; Pseudomonadati; Pseudomonadota; Alphaproteobacteria; Hyphomicrobiales; Bartonellaceae.
GUGAGCGGCAAACGGGUGAGUAACGCGUGGGAAUCUACCCAUUUCUACGGAAUAACACAGAGAAAUUUGUGCUAAUACCGUAUACGUCCUUCGGGAGAAAGAUUUAUCGGAGAUGGAUGAGCCCGCGUUGGAUUAGCUAGUUGGUGAGGUAAUGGCUCACCAAGGCGACGAUCCAUAGCUGGUCUGAGAGGAUGAUCAGCCACACUGGGACUGAGACACGGCCCAGACUCCUACGGGAGGCAGCAGUGGGGAAUAUUGGACAAUGGGGGCAACCCUGAUCCAGCCAUGCCGCGUGAGUGAUGAAGGCCUUAGGGUUGUAAAGCUCUUUCACCGGUGAAGAUAAUGACGGUAACCGGAGAAGAAGCCCCGGCUAACUUCGUGCCAGCAGCCGCGGUAAUACGAAGGGGGCUAGCGUUGUUCGGAUUUACUGGGCGUAAAGCGCAUGUAGGCGGAUAUUUAAGUCAGAGGUGAAAUCCCAGGGCUCAACCUUGGAACUGCCUUUGAUACUGGGUAUCUUGAGUAU